GUAGAGUCCUCAGUUGGAUCGCCAUUGAUCAAAGGACCCAGGUUGAUAUUAUUCUCAGUGACUUACACCUCUAAAACUCUACAUACUUCGGAAAAGUAUUCUAAAAAGGCGUUUGAGUAACAAGUCAAAAUGAUCAGUUUUCUUUUUUUCUGUUGCCUAGCAGGUGUCUGUCUGGGACUUGAUGUCCGUCAGUCUUCCUCUGAUCUCAUCAUGAAACCUGGAGACCAAGUCCAGAUAUUCUGCAGCCAUGAGAAAACGGACUACAGGUUAAUAUAUUGGUACCAGCGCUCACCUGGAGACACAGCUAUGAAACUCAUUGGAUAUUUGUACUUUAAAGAUGACACAAUGGAAGAGUCAUAUAAAGAACAUUUUAGUAUCUCUGGAGAUUUGGGUGGAGAUGCAGCAAAGAACGCCACGCUGAUGUUCAGAUCUGGAUUUCAGCACACUGCGGUGUAUUACUGUGCAGCCAGCUUAGCACAGUGUCUGUCUGGGUCUUGAUGUCCGUCAGUCUCCCUCUGACCUCAUCACCAAAUCUGGAGACAAAGUGGAGAUUUUCUGCAGCCAUGAUAAAACUGACUACAGGGUGAUGCUCUGGUACCAGCGCUCACCUGGAGACACGGCCAUGAAACUCAUUGGAUAUUUGAACUUUAAAGAUGUCAAAAUGGAAGAGCCAUAUAAAAAACAUUUUAAUAUCUCUGGAGAUUUGGGGGGAAAUACAGCAAAGAA
Molecule: non-coding RNA, 726 nt
Organism: Etheostoma cragini (Arkansas darter)
Lineage: Eukaryota; Metazoa; Chordata; Actinopteri; Perciformes; Percidae
Source: the annotation of a RefSeq genome assembly